AUUCCAGCUCCAAUAGCGUAUAUUAAAGUUGUUGCAGUUAAAAAGCUCGUAGUUGGAUUUCUGGUGGGAGCGAUCGGUCUGGCGCUUAGCGCGAGUACUUGCAUCGUCUCCGGCCAUCCUUGGGGAGAGUUUGUCUGGCAUUAAGUUGUCGGGCAAAGGAUCCUCAUCGUUUACUGUGAAAAAAUUAGAGUGUUCAAAGCAGGCUUAUGCCGUUGAAUAUAUUAGCAUGGAAUAAUAAGAUAGGACUUUGGUACUAUUUUGUUGGUUUGCGCACCAAAGUAAUGAUUAAUAGGGACAGUUGGGGGUAUUCGUAUUCCGUUGUCAGAGGUGAAAUUCUUGGAUUUACGGAAGACGAACUACUGCGAAAGCAUUUACCAAGGAUGUUUUCAUCA
This 392-nucleotide ribosomal RNA is filed under the name Bacillariophyta sp. RNAcentral describes it as "partial small subunit ribosomal RNA". It matches the Rfam family "Eukaryotic small subunit ribosomal RNA", at positions 582 to 975 of the family's 1831-position model. The record is from RNAcentral. Lineage: Eukaryota; Bacillariophyta.